GCUGAAGCUUUCUUCCUUUCUGCUGUUUGCCUGGGUGAUUGCCGUAGAAAUGGGCAAGUUCAUGAAGCCGGGGAAGGUGGUGCUGGUCCUGGCCGGACGUUAUUCCGGACGCAAAGCCGUCAUCGUGAAGAACAUUGAUGAUGGCACCUCAGAUCGCCCCUACAGCCAUGCCCUUGUGGCUGGAAUUGACCGCUAUCCCCGCAAAGUGACAGCUGCGAUGGGCAAGAAGAAGAUUGCCAAGAGGUCAAAGAUCAAAUCUUUUGUGAAAGUUUAUAACUACAAUCACCUCAUGCCCACAAGGUACUCUGUGGAUAUCCCCUUGGACAAAACCGUUGUCAACAAGGAUGUCUUCAGAGACCCUGCUCUUAAACACAAGGCCCGACGUGAAGCCAAGGUCAAGUUCGAAGAGAGGUACAAGACGGGCAAGAACAAGUGGUUCUUCCAGAAGCUGCGGUUUUAGAUGUUUUUUGUUUCCGUCAUUAAAAAUUUUUUAAAUCCCAAAAAAAAAAAAAAAAAA
Molecule: RNA transcript, 517 nt
Organism: Carlito syrichta (Philippine tarsier)
Lineage: Eukaryota; Metazoa; Chordata; Mammalia; Primates; Tarsiidae
Gene name: 60S ribosomal protein L27 pseudogene
Exons: 1
Source: RefSeq, a predicted model, not a curated record